This 685-nucleotide long non-coding RNA is filed under the name Apteryx rowi (Okarito brown kiwi). RNAcentral describes it as "lncRNA (ENSARWG00000016250.1)". Lineage: Eukaryota; Metazoa; Chordata; Aves; Apterygiformes; Apterygidae. The record is from RNAcentral.
GACACAGAAAGAUCUCUAUAAGAGCUAAGCCACCGUUGUGCUGCCUCCCCAGCUAGUUCUGCAAACCAGCUUUCUGCCUGUGUGAGCACAGACCCAACAAAGGAAUUGCUUGAAACUGGAAAUUCUUGCACCACUCCCUUUCCAGCGUGUCUCCUGAUGCUGACUAGUCGCCACCAUGCCCUCCAUCCUGAAGUGCAUCUGAGGGCAUUUCUAACUCAAUAUUGGAGUUCUUUAAAGAAGUACAUUCAUCACAGGACUUGCAUUUAUCUUUGGUGGUUCUCCCUUCCUCCCUGUCCCUCUGGUGAUAACAUUGGAUAUUUUUCUCUGCAUCCUACAGAUGCUGGUGAACAGCGUAAGUUUUGCUGCCUGCUCACCUUCAGCUUUUUCAGCAGCUCCCAACUCAGCAGCUUCCUUCCAUUUUCCUCCUCACUGCACCGAGGACAAUACUGUUUCAGCAUGCUGAGUAUACCGCAGCGCAGCAUUGCAGAUGUGCAGCACCUGCCAGAAUGACUCCCUUAUCUUCAGCUGGAACCUAAGACAAAGAAAAGAAUUUGCUGUAAUGAGCCACUUAUGGAGAAUUUCAUCUCGAUAUUUGCAGCGCUAGCACAGCAUCACAGUCAGCAUCACAACUUUUCUACCAGAGUUAAGGAGAGCACCCAGAGGAGGAUGGGAGCCUUGAGGUCCU